This 567-nucleotide non-coding RNA is filed under the name Pongo abelii (Sumatran orangutan). The record is from RNAcentral. Lineage: Eukaryota; Metazoa; Chordata; Mammalia; Primates; Hominidae.
GAUCCUCAUGUGCACAGGAAGAGGUUCUAGUCCUCUGUAACAUAUCCCAAACAAAGCCAGCUGGACUCAGGCUUCUUUCUUAGGGCAAUAGAAGCAAGAGCUGCUAGAAGAAACAGGCCAGCAUGGAGUAUCUGUUGGGACCUUUGUUAUCUUCCAGGACUUCUCAGCCUUGAAUGUUCUAAUGUAUACUUUGACUCUCAAAGAGGAGUGAAGGUGUAACAUUUUCCCAAUUUAUUUGACCACAGAAUCCUGACUUUGAGGAACACUUAGUACCAUCUUAAUGAACACAGAGUGUUCCAUAAAACAUGGGAACCCACCAGAAACAGCCCUCAGGCCUGCCCAACUCUGAGACCUUUCACUGAUGGCCAGAGAAAGUGAGGACCUUGGGAAACAAAUCACACAGUCUGAUAUCUCCCCACGUACCCAGUGGAGCCCCUGACUUACCAGAAAUGGCAUCAGGCUCAGGUUUGCUCCCUGGCAGAUCCUCCACAGAUGUGCUGCUGCCCUCAGCACCAACACCGCAUCCCCGAGGCCCCAUGGCACUGGAGCGCCGCCGCUCGUGGAUCU